AUUUACACACCAACAGAACACAGAUCGAACACCAGUUCGAACGCGUUCGAUGAAUUCAGUUGUGUAGGUACGAUUUAUACACCAACAGAACACAGAUCGAACACCAGUUCGAACGCGUUCGAUGAAUUCAGUUGUGUAGGUACGAUUUACACACCAACAGAACACAGAUCGAACACCAGUUCGAACGCGUUCGAUAAAUUCAGUCGUAUAGAUACGAUUU
Molecule: long non-coding RNA, 220 nt
Organism: Anopheles coluzzii
Lineage: Eukaryota; Metazoa; Arthropoda; Insecta; Diptera; Culicidae
Exons: 2
Source: RefSeq, a predicted model, not a curated record